Molecule: unclassified non-coding RNA, 414 nt
Filed under: Hevea brasiliensis (rubber tree)
Lineage: Eukaryota; Viridiplantae; Streptophyta; Magnoliopsida; Malpighiales; Euphorbiaceae
Source: RNAcentral
AUUUCUUCUGCCCUCCAUGUUUUCUAUGCAUUCACCACUGAAAAUGAUGGAAUUUAUUUAUUUUACUUUUAUCAAGUUUCUAACCAAAAAACAUUUUUUCCCCUUCAAUGCCAGAUCUACCAAUUGCAAGGAAAGCUUCCCUUCACUGGUUUUUGGAAAAGAGGAAAGAUAGGAUCACUGCAUAGGUCUUUUGUGCAAAUAACCUAUCAUGUACAGAAACAAAAAGAGGGAAAAGAAAAAUCCUGCCAUUUGUUUGUCUGAAGUUUGCUGUGAUAUGAUUGUAAUUGAUCUCCUAUUAUGUUUCCCUGUUCUGGGAUCUUACUAGAUGAAGAUCAUUACAACAGGUCAUUGUAUUGAUGACUAUAUAUAAUAGAAUUACGAAAGAUUUUUUUUUUUUUUUAGAUUCAACAAGGU